This 499-nucleotide ribosomal RNA is filed under the name uncultured bacterium. RNAcentral describes it as "bacterial SSU rRNA". It matches the Rfam family "Bacterial small subunit ribosomal RNA", at positions 16 to 507 of the family's 1533-position model. The record is from RNAcentral.
AUCAUGGCUCAGGAUGAACGCUAGCUACAGGCUUAACACAUGCAAGUCGAGGGGCAGCAUGAACUUAGCUUGCUAAGUUGAUGGCGACCGGCGCACGGGUGAGUAACACGUAUCCAACCUGCCGAUGACUCGGGGAUAGCCUUUCGAAAGAAAGAUUAAUACCCGAUGGCAUAGUUCUUCCGCAUGGUAGAACUAUUAAAGAAUUUCGGUCAUCGAUGGGGAUGCGUUCCAUUAGGUUGUUGGCGGGGUAACGGCCCACCAAGCCUUCGAUGGAUAGGGGUUCUGAGAGGAAGGUCCCCCACAUUGGAACUGAGACACGGUCCAAACUCCUACGGGAGGCAGCAGUGAGGAAUAUUGGUCAAUGGACGAGAGUCUGAACCAGCCAAGUAGCGUGAAGGAUGACUGCCCUAUGGGUUGUAAACUUCUUUUAUACGGGAAUAAAGUGAGGCAUGUGUGCCUUUUGUAUGUACCGUAUGAAUAAGGAUCGGCUAACUCCGUG